GAUAUGAUGAAACCAGGUCAUUGCAAUCCACACGAGAGCUUCAUCAGCCAACAAUCCAAAUGCAGCUUCAUCAGCCAACAAUCCAAACGUGAUUACGUUCAAGGUUCAACGAAGAGCCUUUCAUCCAGAAACUGAAGCAGACAAGAAGAAGCGCUUCCGCAAAAGGUCGGCAUCGUGUCUAGAGUUCGUCAUUGUCGCUUCAAUGGAUUCACGUCGCAACGCACAAAAAAUCAGAACAAAUCGCAGAUUUGUGUAAGCUUUGUGGAUUCACUUGCGUUUCAGUUCAACCUUCACGCUUUGGAUUAAAAACGUGGUUGUUGAUCGCGCGUCUUGGCUCAACAUCGGUCUGCGUUUGCAUCAUUCACCUUCUUCUUUCAUGAAUUUGCCUUUUGGAUUGGAUUGUGUCUAAGAAAGGCGUAGAUAGCUGAAACAAAGGAUAGAAGAUUCUUACCGAAUCGAAGUGGAGGAUGCUCCAACGCGGUAGCUCGACGGCAACAACUUCACACCUAUUUGAGGGUAUCACUUUAACUCCAAGCAAAGAGAGCUUUAAACCAUCAGCUGAACAUUGGCUACAACACUCUCUUAUACUUUUUAUAGCUUUGAUAGUGCUAAAGUUGAAGACUCAAAUUCCAUGUUUGCAUUAAGGUAGUCACGAUUCCACUGCAUAAAGUCAGCUCAAAAAGGUAAUAUACAAGACUUUGAGAGAAGAAGCAUAAAGCAUGCAAUGUUGUUGUCUCCACCAGGAGGCAGAAAUGCAACUGAGCAUGCUAGUGAAAAGGAGGAGGAAAAUGCCAUCGUGUGUUGUGGCCUAAGCUUGGAGGAUUUCGAAGUCUUGUAUCCCAAGUAGGCUAUGUGAAUUGUGAAAUCGUGCACUUUAUGUAAUAGGACUUUAAAUUGUAAUAGAACUCUGUAAUAGAACUUUGGGAUUUUAUUCAAAAUUUUGCCAAACAGUGCACUCUUUGAUUCCUUUUUGAAAGAGAAAUGUAACUUGCCCUUAAAGUAAUGAAAGAGAAAUAAGAUGACUUUGGAAAA
Molecule: long non-coding RNA, 1032 nt
Organism: Lathyrus oleraceus (garden pea)
Lineage: Eukaryota; Viridiplantae; Streptophyta; Magnoliopsida; Fabales; Fabaceae
Exons: 3
Source: RefSeq, a predicted model, not a curated record